This 497-nucleotide ribosomal RNA is filed under the name uncultured bacterium. RNAcentral describes it as "partial 16S ribosomal RNA". It matches the Rfam family "Bacterial small subunit ribosomal RNA", at positions 28 to 507 of the family's 1533-position model. The record is from RNAcentral.
GAUGAACGCUGGCGGCGUGCCUAAUACAUGCAAGUCGAGCGAACAGACGAGGAGCUUGCUCCUCUGACGUUAGCGGCGGACGGGUGAGUAACACGUGGAUAACCUACCUAUAAGACUGGGAUAACUUCGGGAAACCGGAGCUAAUACCGGAUAAUAUAUUCAACCGCAUGGUUCAAUAGUGAAAGACGGUUUUGCUGUCACUUAUAGAUGGAUCCGCGCCGCAUUAGCUAGUUGGUAAGGUAACGGCUUACCAAGGCAACGAUGCGUAGCCGACCUGAGAGGGGGAUCGGCCACACUGGAACUGAGACACGGUCCAGACUCCUACGGGAGGCAGCAGUAGGGAAUCUUCCGCAAUGGGCGAAAGCCUGACGGAGCAACGCCGCGUGAGUGAUGAAGGUCUUCGGAUCGUAAAACUCUGUUAUUAGGGAAGAACAAAUGUGUAAGUAACUAUGCACGUCUUGACGGUACCUAAUCAGAAAGCCACGGCUAACUACGUG